Molecule: long non-coding RNA, 919 nt
Organism: Drosophila montana
Lineage: Eukaryota; Metazoa; Arthropoda; Insecta; Diptera; Drosophilidae
Exons: 6
Source: RefSeq, a predicted model, not a curated record
GAGCCCAGGCGAAAGGCAAACAGAUUCAUUCCAGUUGGAGCUCAACUGGAGCCAACAGCUCUAGUUUUCUAAAUUUGUUCUGCCUUUUCUCUCCGUUUAUUUCUGUUGAGAGAAACAAAUAAAAUCAAAAAGUGUCAAAAUUCAGUUUGUUUCAAAGUUUCUCUGUAAACAAUGUGAAAAUUUCAAGAAGUGUUGCAAAAUUACGUUCAGAAGCGGUUUGUAUGUUCUUCGUGUGAAUGGGUGUGAACACAAUAAUGUCGUCACAGCGCAAAAUUUUAAACAGAAGUCCAGAUCAAAAGUUUUACGCGUUUCUAUUUAUCUCUAAUAACCAAGUAUCGUAUUUCGUAACCAAGAUUUGAUGUGAUUGUUUAUUUCACAAUUCGUAACUUUCGAAUGUAUAUUCGCCCAUAGAAUCGGAAACUCUCGGAGUUGAUUGCCCAGCCAAGGGGUAUUUGUUGUCCUUUUCAAUUGCAAGACUCAAUGUGCGUCAAGUUAUAUUCUGAUCAUUCAAAGUUGUCUUUGUGCGUAAAAUUCAACACCCAAAAAAUAAAUGAGAAAUUCCAAAUUCAAAAUGACAUUUUCUAAGCUCGACUUCAUAUUUUAAAUGGCUAAGAAAGGGACCACAAUCAUCGCCACACUCAACGCAAGCCUUGGAUCUUCCCUCUUCUCUUUCCUUUGGCAAUUGUCCGCCUUUUCUUCAGGGAAGAAUCGUAAUAAGAAACUAAUACAAAAUUAUCAAGCUUAUAUAUACAUGGAGAAUCACAACGUCACGGAAGAAGCUGGCCUAGCUCUUAACUACAAAAAUACUAGUCGUAAUAUCAACCAAAAACUGAACCAAAAUAAAAUUAAAUUGGUCCUUUAACAAAUAAGAAGUGCGGCUAUAAUUAUAAAGAAGAAUAAAAAUGCGAGCUUAGACAUA